GACGAACGCUGGCGGCGUGCUUAACACAUGCAAGUCGAACGGAAAGGCCCUGCUUUUGUGGGGUGCUCGAGUGGCGAACGGGUGAGUAACACGUGAGUAACCUGCCCUUGACUUUGGGAUAACUUCAGGAAACUGGGGCUAAUACCGGAUAGGAGCUCCUGCUGCAUGGUGGGGGUUGGAAAGUUUCGGCGGUUGGGGAUGGACUCGCGGCUUAUCAGCUUGUUGGUGGGGUAGUGGCUUACCAAGGCUUUGACGGGUAGCCGGCCUGAGAGGGUGACCGGCCACAUUGGGACUGAGAUACGGCCCAGACUCCUACGGGGGGCAGCAGUGGAGAAUAUUGCACAAUGGGCGGAAGCCUGAUGCAGCAACGCCGCGUGCGGGAUGACGGCCUUCGGGUUGUAAACCGCUUUCGCCUGUGACGAAGCGUGAGUGACGGUAAUGGGUAAAGAAGCACCGGCUAACUACGUG
Molecule: ribosomal RNA, 468 nt
Filed under: uncultured bacterium
Lineage: Bacteria
Description: partial 16S ribosomal RNA
Rfam family: Bacterial small subunit ribosomal RNA
Source: RNAcentral